AUGUCCUGUCAGCGUCCAGAUCCAUCAACAGGCGCAUGGCGGUUACAUCCCUCAGCUGAUGGGGUGUGUGUGUUUAUUUGUUUUUGUUACGGAUUUCUUUGGAGGAGUAAAUAUGAAGAACUGGUAGUGCAGGCUCACCAGCCAAGGCGCACUGUGCCACAUGUGUUCCCGGCCGGAGCCAAUACUCCAGGCGUUUGGGGAGCUUUUAGGGCAGGAUGUUCCCGACGCUCACCUGAGCCCUCACCGGCCCGUCGGGUGAGGCAGGUCUGUGCCCUGGGGCUCCCCCGCCACGUUCAGGCUCUGUGCCCCGCGAUGGCCCCGGCAGGGCUCGCCGGGCCGGGACCCCGUCUGCGGGCCGAGGGAAGCGGCCGCAGGCCGGCGGCAGGACGCGGAGCCGGCGCCGCGGGGCGGGGGAGGCAGUGCGAGGCAGUGCGGAAAGAGUUAAGGGAAGGUGGCGGGGCAGACUGGCUGUCGGGAGCGAGCAUGUGCAGAUUGAAACCGCAUCCAUACUACGGGCGAGUGUCACCGGCACACUUCACCUCCCGCCGGCCGCGGGGCACCCAUGGACACCGGAAGGCUGUCUGGUUGCUGUAUUAGCUGUCGGUCACACGCACCUGGGCUGAAAACAACUGGCAUCUGAAACCCCUUGGACCUGCUGGAGGCAGCCUCAUCUACCUGCGGAUGUUGUGAAUUAGGAGCUGGCCAAAGAGUGGGAGAGCUCCAGUAUCCCUCCCCAGAAAAGGUAAGGUCUGGAGGCUAAAACUGGCUGGACUGCACUUGUAGACCAGAAAAACAGAGCAGUUGUCCGAGUACAGAGCUGACAGCAUUGUAGAUGAGACCUUUGAAGUUUAAGUAUGUAGAGUGCAAAGUUAUUUACAUUGGUUUAAACCUCAAGUUGUUUUCUGGAGGUGUAAGAUUGCUAUUUGCACACAUCACCCUUGAUUUCUGUUGGCUGUGAGUCACAUCAUUCUGAUAGCUUGUAAUUCAUGCAGCCAAACUUUUCAGUGUUAUUGUUUCUUUAAAACCUCACACUCUGGUAGCCUUAGGCAGUUAAAACAAUCAGGACAGUAGAGCAGUAUCUCUGAGCUAAACCAGAGCAGUAGGUAAAGAGCAGAGGGUUGUUCUCUCCUGUGAAAGCACAGGUGUGAGUCGGAUGAUGAGGUAUCUAUUCCUGGCCCUAACAUGCAGUGCAGUCUCUGCACCUGAUUCACCACUGUGUUACUCUACUAAUCUUCUUAGCCUCAUCUUGCCGCUCUCCUGUAUGCUGUGGCAAUCAGUUACACUUCCACAGAGUAUAUGUAAAAUGCUAUCAAUUUGAAAGGGUGAUUUAUAUCCCAGAGCAAAAGUUUAUGUUGAUUCUGGUAUGUGGGGUGGGUUUUGUGGGACCAAAAUGAUUUCCAGACCCUGCAGCAUUUUUGAUAUGUGCUUUGUGUCUGCAGUAUAUGGCAUGGUUCAGUCUACAAUAUUGUUUUCCCUAUUGUGGAUCAGCUUUCCUGGGUAGGUUGUGCACAGUAUCUUAUUUCUAGCUGGGAACUCACUUUGAAUAUGUAGAUACUACAUGUAUAAACUUCAGAUUCAUGUAGUACCAUC
Long non-coding RNA from Parus major (Great Tit), 1590 nucleotides. The record is from Ensembl. NCBI's taxonomy places the organism in Eukaryota, Metazoa, Chordata, Aves, Passeriformes, Paridae.